UUGCGAGCCGCUGAGGAGGUUGCAGGUGGCGGCUUAAAUAGCCAGCGCAUAGUGGGAAUGAGGUUGCAGCCUUGAAGGAUUCCGGGAAGCCGUCCUCGUUUUCCCUUUUCAUUAGGGAGUGGAAAGAUUCCAGUGGUCCUCGGGAAGAUGUCCGCUUGCGUACCCCGGGAAGCUCAAUAUGGUGAUACCUCAAGUCACAACAGCUCGUCGCCGCCCCGGGAUGACCUCGGACGCACAAGCAGUCCAACACUGGUAGACGGACGAGGUGGUACUUUUCAGUCGGCCAGUAGACACACCGCAAAGUCCCCUGAUCAAAGCGUUGACGCAAUCUCCUCAAUAAGUGAAAUGUCAGGGAGAAGACAUGAUGACGGAGGUGAGAAGACCGGAACUCUUCUUCAAUAGCAGAGCGUAGAUUCAAGACUUCCAGUGGCUGGCCGGGUCUGGCUAUCUCGUGUAGGACCCUCGAAGAUGAAAGCAACCUCUUGUUUCCUCCCAUGUGAAUGGCUCAAGCUUCAAAAGGCACCUGGCCACGGGGCUGAGAGUUUUCUGGAAGAACGCUGCGACCGGCGAAACAACAGAACAAAAAUCCACAGUCCAGGUUCCCCAGAAUUUUUCGUCGGGCAACAUCCCUUCCGGUAGGAGAACAC
Ornithodoros turicata is the source of this 647-nucleotide long non-coding RNA. RefSeq lists it as uncharacterized. Lineage: Eukaryota; Metazoa; Arthropoda; Arachnida; Ixodida; Argasidae. The record is from RefSeq and is a predicted model, not a curated record. The transcript is spliced from 3 exons.